This 430-nucleotide ribosomal RNA is filed under the name uncultured bacterium. RNAcentral describes it as "bacterial SSU rRNA". It matches the Rfam family "Bacterial small subunit ribosomal RNA", at positions 355 to 776 of the family's 1533-position model. The record is from RNAcentral.
UGGGGAAUUUUGCACAAUGGGCGAAAGCCUGAUGCAGCAAUGCCGCGUGUGCGAUGAAUCCCUUCGGGGUGUAAAGCACUUUAAUUUGUGAGGAUGGUGGGGUUCAUUAAUACUGGAUCCCAUUGACAUUAGCAAAAGAAUAAGCACCGGCUAACUCCGUGCCAGCAGCCGCGGUAAUACGGAGGGUGCAAGCGUUAAUCGGAAUUACUGGGCGUAAAGGGUGCGUAGGCGGUUAAUUAAGUCAGAUGUGAAAUCCAAGGGCUCAACCCUUGAACUGCAUUUGAAACUGAUUGACUAGAAUGAGAUAGAGGGGAGCGGAAUUUCCAGUGUAGCGGUGAAAUGCGUAGAUAUUGGAAGGAACACCAGAGGCGAAGGCGGCUCCCUGGAUCUUUAUUGACGCUGAAGUACGAAAGCAUGGGUAGCAAACAGG